GGGUGAGUAACACGUAUGCAACCUCUCCCUGUCAGGGGGACAACCCGCCGAAAGGCGGGCUAAACCCGCGUACAUGCCACCGGGGCAUCCCGGAGGCAGGAAAGGCUUCGGCCGGACAGGGAUGGGCAUGCGGCGCAUUAGGCAGUAGGCGGGGUAACGGCCCACCUAACCGACGAUGCGUAGGGGUUCUGAGAGGAAGGUCCCCCACACUGGUACUGAGACACGGACCAGACUCCUACGGGAGGCAGCAGUGAGGAAUAUUGGUCAAUGGUCGGGAGACUGAACCAGUCAAGCCGCGUGAGGGAUGAAGGUACAGAGUAUCGUAAACCUCUUUUGUCAGGGAACAAAGGCGGGGACGUGUCCCCGGAUGAGUGUACCUGAAGAAAAAGCAUCGGCUAACUCCGUGCCGGCAGCCGCGGUAAUACGGAGGAUGCGAGCGUUAUCCGGAUUUAUUGGGUUUAAAGGGUGCGCAGGCGGUCUGUUAAGUCAGCGGUCAAAGCCCGGGGCUCAACCCCGGCCCGCCGUUGAAACUGGCAGUCUCGAGUUGGAGAGAAGUAUGCGGAAUGCGCGGUGUAGCGGUGAAAUGCAUAGAUAUCGCGCAGAACUCCGAUUGCGAAGGCAGCAUGCCGGCUCCACACUGACGCUGAGGCACGAAAGCGUGGGUAUCGAACAGGAUUAGAUACCCUGGUAGUCCACGCAGUAAACGACG
RNAcentral lists this ribosomal RNA (709 nucleotides) under uncultured bacterium. RNAcentral's name for it is "bacterial SSU rRNA". It matches the Rfam family "Bacterial small subunit ribosomal RNA", at positions 104 to 811 of the family's 1533-position model. The record is from RNAcentral.